UGCUAAAUAAGUUUUUAAAAGAAUCGCUUGAAGAGGAGUGUUUAAAAGACUUAAGGAAUCUUCGAUGGUUAAUGCCAAUGUUUUAAAGUUGUUGUUUUUUAAAAACCACCUCUGGCUUAUAUAAUAUCGUAUAGAUUAUAGACGGUCCUUCACAACAGUAGAUAAUUAUGCCCUGCGCCUAUAAAAAUAGACCGUAAGGAUUUGGC
Molecule: non-coding RNA, 206 nt
Organism: Biomphalaria pfeifferi
Lineage: Eukaryota; Metazoa; Mollusca; Gastropoda; Planorbidae
Source: the annotation of a GenBank genome assembly